RNAcentral lists this ribosomal RNA (405 nucleotides) under uncultured bacterium. Its description in RNAcentral is "bacterial SSU rRNA". It matches the Rfam family "Bacterial small subunit ribosomal RNA", at positions 51 to 455 of the family's 1533-position model. The record is from RNAcentral.
CUACCUGCAGUCGGACGGUAGCACAGAGAGCUUGCUCUCGGGUGACGAGUGGCGGACGGGUGAGUAAUGUCUGGGGAUCUGCCCGAUAGAGGGGGAUAACCACUGGAAACGGUGGCUAAUACCGCAUAACGUCGCAAGACCAAAGAGGGGGACCUUCGGGCCUCUCACUAUCUGAUGAACCCAGAUGGGAUUAGCUAGUAGGCGGGGUAAUGGCCCACCUAGGCGACGAUCCCUAGCUGGUCUGAGAGGAUGACCAGCCACACUGGAACUGAGACACGGUCCAGACUCCUACGGGAGGCAGCAGUGGGGAAUAUUGCACAAUGGGCGCAAGCCUGAUGCAGCCAUGCCGCGUGUAUGAAGAAGGCCUUCGGGUUGUAAAGUACUUUCAGCGGGGAGGAAGGCGGU